CGCGGUAUUAUGACCGUGCAAAGGUAGCAUAAUAAUUAGUCUUUUAAUUGAAGGCUAGAAUGAAUGGUUGGACAAGAAAUUAACUGUAUUAGGUAAAAAUAUUAAAUUUAACUUUUAAGUGAAAAGGCUUAAAUAAAUUAGAGGGACGAUAAGACCCUAUAAAACUUUAUAUAUUUAUGAACUAGUAAUUAUUUUUAUUUAUAAAAUUUUAGAUCAGAGUAUUUUAUUGGGGCGAUAAAAAUAAAAUUUAAAGUAACUGUUUUAUUUUUUAACAAUAAUAUUUGAAUUUUAGAUCCUAAAAAGGAUCAAUAGAUUAAGUUACUUUAGGGAUAACAGCGUUAUUUUUUUUAAGAGUUCAUAUCGACAAAAAAG
Molecule: ribosomal RNA, 372 nt
Filed under: Cambaroides japonicus
Lineage: Eukaryota; Metazoa; Arthropoda; Malacostraca; Decapoda; Cambaridae
Description: partial 16S ribosomal RNA
Source: RNAcentral